GAUGAACGCUGGCGGCGUGCCUAAUACAUGCAAGUCGAGCGAACGGACGAGAAGCUUGCUUCUCUGAUGUUAGCGGCGGACGGGUGAGUAACACGUGGAUAACCUACCUAUAAGACUGGGAUAACUUCGGGAAACCGGAGCUAAUACCGGAUAAUAUUUUGAACCGCAUGGUUCAAAAGUGAAAGACGGUCUUGCUGUCACUUAUAGAUGGAUCCGCGCUGCAUUAGCUAGUUGGUAAGGUAACGGCUUACCAAGGCAACGAUGCAUAGCCGACCUGAGAGGGUGAUCGGCCACACUGGAACUGAGACACGGUCCAGACUCCUACGGGAGGCAGCAGUAGGGAAUCUUCCGCAAUGGGCGAAAGCCUGACGGAGCAACGCCGCGUGAGUGAUGAAGGUCUUCGGAUCGUAAAACUCUGUUAUUAGGGAAGAACAUAUGUGUAAGUAACUGUGCACAUCUUGACGGUACCUAAUCAGAAAGCUACGGCUAACUACGU
This 496-nucleotide ribosomal RNA is filed under the name uncultured bacterium. RNAcentral describes it as "partial 16S ribosomal RNA". It matches the Rfam family "Bacterial small subunit ribosomal RNA", at positions 28 to 506 of the family's 1533-position model. The record is from RNAcentral.